RNAcentral lists this long non-coding RNA (3018 nucleotides) under Oncorhynchus mykiss (rainbow trout). Its description in RNAcentral is "lncRNA (ENSOMYG00000067601.1)". The record is from RNAcentral. Lineage: Eukaryota; Metazoa; Chordata; Actinopteri; Salmoniformes; Salmonidae.
GGUGAUUUGGUUGGGGAGGAUUGGUGUUCAUGUACUUUCUCAGUAGCUUGGUACAUUAGUUAUAGUUCUACCUCUUCUAUCUCAGUAGCUUGGUACAGGAGUUAUAUUUCUACCUCUUCUUUCUCAGUAGCUUGGUACAUUAGUUAUAGUUCUACCUCUUCUUUCUCAGUAGCUUGGUACAGGAGUUAUAGUUCUACCUCUUCUAUCUCAGUAGCUUGGUACAGGAGUUAUAGUUCUACCUCUUCUUUCUCAGUAGCUUGGUACAUUAGUUAUAGUUCUAUCUCUUCUUUCUCAGUAGCUUGGUACAGGAGUUAUAGUUCUACCUCUUCUUUCUCAGUAGCUUGGUACAUUAGUUAUAGUUCUAUCUCUUCUUUCUCAGUAGCUUGGUACAUUAGUUAUAGUUCUACCUCUUCUAUCUCAGUAGCUUGGUACAGGAGUUAUAUUUCUACCUCUUCUUUCUCAGUAGCUUGGUACAUUAGUUAUAGUUCUACCUCUUCUUUCUCAGUAGCUUGGUACAGGAGUUAUAGUUCUACCUCUUCUAUCUCAGUAGCUUGGUACAUUAGUUAUAGUUCUAUCUCUUCUUUCUCUGUAGCUUGGUACAGGAGUUAUAGUUCUAUCUCUUCUUUCUCAGUAGCUUGGUACAGGAGUUAUAGUUCUACCUCUUCUAUCUCAGUAGCUUGGUACAUUAGUUAUAGUUCUAUCUCUUCUUUCUCAGUAGCUUGGUACAUUAGUUAUAGUUCUAUCUCUUCUUUCUCAGUAGCUUGGUACAUUAGUUAUAGUUCUAUCUCUUCUAUCUCAGUAGCUUGGUACAGGAGUUAUAGUUCUACCUCUUCUUUCUCAGUAGCUUGGUACAGGAGUUAUAGUUCUACCUCUUCUUUCUCAGUAGCUUGGUACAUUAGUUAUAGUUCUAUCUCUUCUUUCUCAGUAGCUUGGUACAGGAGUUAUAGUUCUACCUCUUCUUUCUCAGUAGCUUGGUACAUUAGUUAUAGUUCUAUCUCUUCUAUCUCAGUAGCUUGGUACAGGAGUUAUAUUUCUACCUCUUCUUUCUCAGUAGCUUGGUACAUUAGUUAUAGUUCUAUCUCUUCUUUCUCAGUAGCUUGGUACAUUAGUUAUAGUUCUAUCUCUUCUUUCUCAGUAGCUUGGUACAGGAGUUAUAGUUCUACCUCUUCUUUCUCAGUAGCUUGGUACAUUAGUUAUAGUUAUAUCUCUUCUAUCUCAGUAGCUUGGUACAGGAGUUAUAUUUCUAUCUCUUCUUUCUCAGUAGCUUGGUACAUUAGUUAUAGUUCUAUCUCUUCUUUCUCAGUAGCUUGGUACAUUAGUUAUAGUUCUAUCUCUUCUUUCUCAGUAGCUUGGUACAGGAGUUAUAGUUCUACCUCUUCUAUCUCAGUAGCUUGGUACAUUAGUUAUAGUUCUACCUCUUCUAUCUCAGUAGCUUGGUACAGGAGUUAUAGUUCUAUCUCUUCUUUCUCAGUAGCUUGGUACAUUAGUUAUAGUUCUACCUCUUCUAUCUCAGUAGCUUGGUACAGGAGUUAUAGUUCUACCUCUUCUUUCUCAGUAGCUUGGUACAGGAGUUAUAGUUCUAUCUCUUCUUUCUCAGUAGCUUGGUACAUUAGUUAUAGUUCUACCUCUUCUAUCUCAGUAGCUUGGUACAGGAGUUAUAGUUCUACCUCUUCUUUCUCAGUAGCUUGGUACAGGAGUUAUAGUUCUACCUCUUCUUUCUCAGUAGCUUGGUACAGGAGUUAUAGUUCUACCUCUUCUAUCUCAGUAGCUUGGUACAGGAGUUAUAGUUCUACCUCUUCUUUCUCAGUAGCUUGGUACAGGAGUUAUAGUUCUACCUCUUCUUUCUCAGUAGCUUGGUACAGUAGUUAUAGUUCUACCUCUUCUAUCUCAGUAGCUUGGUACAGGAGUUAUAGUUCUACCUCUUCUUUCUCAGUAGCUUGGUACAGGAGUUAUAGUUCUAUCUCUUCUUUCUCAGUAGCUUGGUACAUUAGUUAUAGUUCUAUCUCUUCUUUCUCAGUAGCUUGGUACAUUAGUUAUAGUUCUACCUCUUCUAUCUCAGUAGCUUGGUACAGGAGUUAUAGUUCUACCUCUUCUUUCUCAGUAGCUUGGUACAUUAGUUAUAGUUCUAUCUCUUCUUUCUCAGUAGCUUGGUACAGGAGUUAUAGUUCUAUCUCUUCUUUCUCAGUAGCUUGGUACAGGAGUUAUAUUUCUACCUCUUCUAUCUCAGUAGCUUGGUACAUUAGUUAUAGUUCUAUCUCUUCUUUCUCAGUAGCUUGGUACAGGAGUUAUAGUUCUAUCUCUUCUUUCUCAGUAGCUUGGUACAGGAGUUAUAGUUCUAUCUCUUCUAUCUCAGUAGCUUGGUACAGGAGUUAUAGUUCUACCUCUUCUUUCUCAGUAGCUUGGUACAGGAGUUAUAGUUCUACCUCUUCUUUCUCAGUAGCUUGGUACAUUAGUUAUAGUUCUAUCUCUUCUUUCUCAGUAGCUUGGUACAGGAGUUAUAGUUCUACCUCUUCUUUCUCAGUAGCUUGGUACAGGAGUUAUAGUUCUACCUCUUCUUUCUCAGUAGCUUGGUACAUUAGUUAUAGUUCUAUCUCUUCUUUCUCAGUUGCUUGGUACAGGAGUUAUAGUUCUACCUCUUCUUUCUCAGUUGCUUGGUACAGGAGUUAUAGUUCUACCUCUUCUUUCUCAGUUGCUUGGUACAUUAGUUAUAGUUCUAUCUCUUCUUUCUCAGUAGCUUGGUACAGGAGUUAUAGUUCUACCUCUUCUUUCUCAGUAGCUUGGUACAGGAGUUAUAGUUCUAUCUCUUCUAUCUCAGUAGCUUGGUACAGGAGUUAUAGUUCUACCUCUUCUUUCUCAGUAGCUUGGUACAUUAGUUAUAGUUCUAUCUCUUCUUUCUCUGUAGCUUGGUACAGGAGUUAUAUUUCUACCUCUUCUAUCUCAGUAGCUUGGUACAGGAGCUAUGUAGUUCGACUGCUUAUUUUUCUCCUUACUGAUUGUUUGCGCCACACACAAACUUAA